AGGGUUCGAUUAUGGCUCAGAUUGAACGCUGGCGGCAGGCCUAACACAUGCAAGUCGAGCGGUAACAGGGGAAGCUUGCUUCUCGCUGACGAGCGGCGGACGGGUGAGUAAUGUAUGGGGAUCUGCCCGAUAGAGGGGGAUAACUACUGGAAACGGUAGCUAAUACCGCAUAAUCUCUUAGGAGCAAAGCAGGGGAACUUCGGUCCUUGCGCUAUCGGAUGAACCCAUAUGGGAUUAGCUAGUUGGUGAGGUAAUGGCUCACCAAGGCGACGAUCCCUAGCUGGUCUGAGAGGAUGAUCAGCCACACUGGGACUGAGACACGGCCCAG
Molecule: ribosomal RNA, 328 nt
Filed under: uncultured bacterium
Lineage: Bacteria
Description: bacterial SSU rRNA
Rfam family: Bacterial small subunit ribosomal RNA
Source: RNAcentral